UGGGCCUCCAAGUACCCUGCUUGCGCCUGGAGGUCUCUCACCCCCAGGUCCUGCUCAAAGCUGUGCACUUGGGCCCCCAGGCAUGCGGCUUGCUCCGGAAGGUCCCUUACCUGUGGCACUGAGCAUGUACUUCCUGCAGUGCAGUUAGAAAUGCCCAUCCGACUCUGCUUGCAAAGGCACAGCUGCUUAAAGACUGUUACCGGAAAGGAAUCCUGAUCCAGACGCCAAGAGAGGGUUCUUGGACUCAUGCAAGAAAGACUUCAGGACAGAGAUCAUGGAAGUUGGGCCCGACUGGAUGAGAUUUGGGGGUCUUUGGAAGUGGAGAAUGUGUUUGCCCUGGGGAAGAGAGGUGAUGUCUAGGAGACCUCUUCACUCAGGGCAAGCUCUAUGACCUGCUUUGACUCCAGAAUGUGGUAGAAGUGGCAUCACAUAAAUUGCAGAGCCUAGGCUUCAAGAGACCUUGCAACUUGCCUCUCACUGACUUGAAGUGCUCCCAUCAGAGCAUCUUGUAAGGAGCAGGUGGAGCAUGUGGACAAGCCAUCCCCACCAGCCCCUGAGACAUGUGAGAGAGGCCAGAACAGGCCAUCCGGACCCCACUGUGCUGGUGGAUGAGACAGCAGAAGGAAUAUCAACCUACCAACAGAAUCCUGAGAAAUGCUCACUCUUACUUCAAGCUGCUGCAUUUUGAUGUUAUGAAACCAUAAAUAACUUAUGAAGUCAUCUUUGCUGACUUAAAGUUUUCCAUAACUUUAUU
This 754-nucleotide long non-coding RNA is filed under the name Homo sapiens (human). RNAcentral's name for it is "non-protein coding lnc-OPRK1-3:5". The record is from RNAcentral. Lineage: Eukaryota; Metazoa; Chordata; Mammalia; Primates; Hominidae.